AAUAGGCCCUUCUCCAACUACAGACUCCACCAGUGGCACUAUAGGCCCUCCCAGUGGGCCUCCUCAAGCCCAAGACCCACAUGUGGAAAUGCCAGAAGAUGAUCCAAUCUUGGAUUUUAAUCUCCUAGGAGCCCCACACCAAUCCAGGCCCAACUCAAGCCCAUGAUUCACAUUACACGAUAUUCCCCCUUCAAAAUGGAGAGAUCGUCUUGCAGAAUUUAAAGUCUGGCUCGAUGUUCAGAUGCUUCGAGAAGACACUGAUUCUCAUACUGUUCUCAGAG
RNAcentral lists this unclassified non-coding RNA (281 nucleotides) under Hevea brasiliensis (rubber tree). Lineage: Eukaryota; Viridiplantae; Streptophyta; Magnoliopsida; Malpighiales; Euphorbiaceae. The record is from RNAcentral.